GGGGAUGCUCCAGAAGAGUAAAAAGAAGCCCUUCUAGAGAUUGAAAAUAUCACUGGAAUCCCAGAGAAAGAGCAACAAGUAGCCCCCCCCCCCCAUAUGGCUUUCAGGACUUUUUGUGUUUAACAAAGGAAGACAGCUGGGUGCCAAGCCUAAAGAUGAUGCCAGGGUCUUCUCAGAACUUGCUAGGCAGUUUAGGGUGGAUGAGGACCAGAGGAUAAACACCCUAAUGGUGGCUUUCAUUGUGCUGGAUCUGUCAAAUGGCAAGAGCAUCACUGAGCCCAUUUCACAGAAGAACCUGAGGAGGGCUACUUAAUCCAUGGACCCAUCGCUGAAAACUAGAACUGCCGACAGUCAAACCAGGGAAGUCAAAGCUGGGAGAUGCAGUCCUCAGAUCUGUACCAGACACCAUGAUACUAUCACUGAACUGAAGAUGGACAGUGUUUUUCCAGAGAUACCAUCAUACCACUCUCUGUCACAGCUAGUUACUCUGCAAGAUGCAUAGUAAAAUGUUCCUGCUAAUGGCCCUCUUUAGCUGGUGAGAACUACAGAAGCCUGUUUGUAAGCAUGGACUCAUGGGAUUCGGUUGCCAAUUUGGUUGACCUGACCUUGAGAUAGACUUAACUUGCUGUAUGGUCUUCGGGAAACCACACCCCAUCUCUGUGCUCUUCUCUUGUUUGUGCUAACUCAUUCCUGGGCCCUCCUGUUGCUGCUGCUGAAAUUUGAUACUGGCCUUGACCAAGUCACAAAUGUCCAGUUAACAGGAUAAAAAUGAGCGGGAUCUGGGAUUCCGGUCAUUAACCCCAUGUCACCAUCUGCUGGAGUAAGAUGAGGGCAGGGCCAGGGGCACUGGGGAACCACCUGGUACUUGUCAGACAUAGAGAUCCCCUACCAUCUUCUCCUCCCAUGCCACCUCCACAGUUUCAGAGUGUGUAAGGCUGAGGCCCCAUGAGCUUGGCUACCUUUGUAGGUGGUGAAAGGGCAGCUUAAAACAUCACCCAAAAGCAGCUGUGUGGGCCUGAUAGACCAGCCCCAUCCAACUGCUCUGUGGCAUUUCAUGCUGCCUUUUCCUCUGCCUGGAAAGAGCCUGCCAGCCUGCUUUCUCUGUGUCACCUCCCCAGAGGAGCCUUGGCUGGCUGCCCCACCUCCAAUUCCAUUUCCACUCGCUGGCUACACAAGAGCAUCCUUCCCCUCUUCUCUGUCAGUCCUGAUAAUUUUUGGUGAUUUGUCUAAUCUCCUUGUGAAGUAUCUAAUUAUUCUUAGUAGAGUGUGCCUUUCUCCCCUGUCUGGCUGGUUGGGGGCUGUGUCUAGCAGGAGGUUGUAGGAAUUCAUGAGUCAAUGGACAUGUGAGUGAAUUUGCUUAUCUCUGCUGUUGAGGCUACAGAAAUGGGAACUCUUCCAUCCCUGGAGACAUGAGGCCUGUCUUCUGCCCCUCACUCUGUCCCUUACUACUCCCAGAGAUUCAGCUGCUGUCAGUGAGAGUUGUGGCUACCGAAGAACUGGAGCUGUCUGCCCCACCCCCACCUCCCAGGGAACAAUUUCAUCUUCUCUGCAUCCCACAUGCAUGAAUGGACAGCCACGUCUUCUCUACAAGCUCCUCUCCACUUCCCCACCCCCACCACCCCAACCACAGGAUGGUGAUAGCAAAAAUAAAAGAGGUAAACAGUAGGUAUUCAGUAAAUGCCAGCCACUGUCAAAACAGCAAUGCAAUUCACAACUUCAAACUGUGCCUUGCCUUCUGGGAGAUUGUUUUUAAUAACUGAAAAUCAGUUGCUUAUGCACCCUGGCCUUGUAGUAUGGAAUCAGUACCUUUAAUUCUGACUUUGUUUACUUUAACUCCCUGUAACCGGAGUUUCAUGGGUUGGCAGACUUUUGCUCCACUAGUCUCAAAGGAGGCCUUUGGACCACGCCUGACCACAGCCACUUUGAUCCUGAAAGCCUUUAAUCUAGUGCGCCCGCGUAGAAUGACACAUAAAUAUCCUUACACACGUAAAUAAAGCAGCUCCAGCGGUAGGAAUGUACCCACAGCAGGAGGCCCUGGGUUCUGAUCCGAUUUCCAUUCACUUCUCUUCAUCGAGGGAGGAGCUAGCUAACCCUUUG
Long non-coding RNA from Psammomys obesus (fat sand rat), 2097 nucleotides. RefSeq lists it as uncharacterized. The transcript has 3 exons. The record is from RefSeq and is a predicted model, not a curated record. Lineage: Eukaryota; Metazoa; Chordata; Mammalia; Rodentia; Muridae.